AGUAGUUUGAUCAUGGCUCGAGGACGAACGCUGGCGGCGUGCUUAACACAUGCAAGUCGAACGGUAAGGCCCUUCGGGGUACACGAGUGGCGAACGGGUGAGUAACACGUGGGUGAUCUGCCCUGCACUUCGGGAUAAGCCUGGGAAACUGGGUCUAAUACCGGAUAGGACCAUGGACUUCACGGUUUGUGGUGGAAAGCUUUUGCGGUGUGGGAUGGGUCCGCGGCCUAUCAGCUUGUUGGUGGGGUAAUGGCCUACCAAGGCGACGACGGGUAGCCGGCCUGAGAGGGUGUCCGGCCACACUGGGACUGAGAUACGGCCCAGACUCCUACGGGAGGCAGCAGUGGGGAAUAUUGCACAAUGGGCGCAAGCCUGAUGCAGCGACGCCGCGUGAGGGAUGACGGCCUUCGGGUUGUAAACCUCUUUCAAUAGGGACGAAGCGCAAGUGACGGUACCUAUAGAAGAAGCACCGGCCAACUACGUG
Molecule: ribosomal RNA, 484 nt
Filed under: uncultured bacterium
Lineage: Bacteria
Description: bacterial SSU rRNA
Rfam family: Bacterial small subunit ribosomal RNA
Source: RNAcentral